CGGGGUGAGUAACACGUGGAUAACCUACCUAUAAGACUGGGAUAACUUCGGGAAACCGGAGCUAAUACCGGAUAAUAUAUUGAACCGCAUGGUUCAAUAGUGAAAGACGGUUUUGCUGUCACUUAUAGAUGGAUCCGCGCCGCAUUAGCUAGUUGGUAAGGUAACGGCUUACCAAGGCAGCGAUGCGUAGCCGACCUGAGAGGGUGAUCGGCCACACUGGAACUGAGACACGGUCCAGACUCCUACGGGAGGCAGCAGUG
RNAcentral lists this ribosomal RNA (260 nucleotides) under uncultured Staphylococcus sp. RNAcentral describes it as "partial 16S ribosomal RNA". It matches the Rfam family "Bacterial small subunit ribosomal RNA", at positions 100 to 356 of the family's 1533-position model. The record is from RNAcentral. Lineage: Bacteria; Bacillati; Bacillota; Bacilli; Caryophanales; Staphylococcaceae.